RNAcentral lists this long non-coding RNA (1832 nucleotides) under Volvox carteri. Its description in RNAcentral is "long non-coding RNA (VCAR_LNC001633)". Lineage: Eukaryota; Viridiplantae; Chlorophyta; Chlorophyceae; Chlamydomonadales; Volvocaceae. The record is from RNAcentral.
ACUUGGCUCCGGCCCCUGCCUCAUGUCCCACUCUAUGAGCACCGGCCUCAUCUUAUCCCGCACUUCCAGGUACGUCCACAACAGCUUGUUGGGGUCGGAGCUGGUGUGACCCAGCAGCGGGUGCAUCAGCAUGAACACGCCCUGAACAUCAGGCCGCCGAGACCAGCUGCGGAGCCAAAUGUGAAACGAAAUGCAACCAGCCAACCAUCAGCCAAUAGCCAACAGAGCAGAGCGGAGAGGGGUGUGCGUUAGCCGCGGCCGCAGCCAACAGCAAGGGGGGGGAGGGUGUAGAGCUGGGAAGGGAAGCUUCCGGGGCUUCCGGGAUCCGCCGCCGGUUUCAGGUGCAGAGAGCUGACAGAUGCGAAGCAGGCUCCGCAACAGUAGUCGACGAGACUAAACAUGGUGUGGGGGGGACAUGGCGCAACGCAACGGAUCGGUCAUGGAGUAGCAGCGCGGCCCACGCUGCGAGGUGGUGGAGUGCGUAUGUGUGUGUGUUGUGAGAGAGUGUGUGUGUGUGUUGUGUGUAUGUGUGUGUAUUGAUCCUGCAGGUUUGUCUCCUUCGGCACGCCCACAGGCCACAGUCCACAGGCCACCGAGCUGCGUGGCUCCAUCCAUCUCACGCCCCCACCGACCUGAUGCAGGUCACCUUCUUGCGCAGCUCCUCCGCAGCCAGGAGGGCCCGCCGGGUCUCAGACUCGAAGGCGGAUACGGUGGCUCGGCACUCGGAGGCGAAGGAGGGGCCCGUGGUCACAGCUCUGUCCAGGUGCGAAGGGGCCCAGAAAGGAGGGUUCAGGGAGAGGAGUCUUAGGGCUGCAAGAAACUACACAGAAAAACUACUACUGCACUGACGUCAAAAAACAACGACUUGGAGGAAGGGGGGAAAGACGAACCACACGCGAUUGAAGCUGCUGCCAGGGCAAGAGAGUAGCAAACGUAGCAAACGUGGAGGAAGGGGGGAGUUUCAUCUGGGUCGUGGGGCGCAACACGGUCGAUUGGAGGCUGCAAGGGCCCGUGGGGGAAGGAGAGCCCGUGGGACAGAGCUACCUGGAACUAACUUGGAUCCCCAGUGGGUACUAACGGAACUAACGGAAACCUAAUAACCCAGCGAUACAUAUUCGAUAGCGAUAUUCGACAUAUGGACAUUUUCAACCUACCGAGAAAUCACCCGCAUGAACUUUCGUUGCGGCUCCGAUCUGCAGACGGACAAACAGACAGACAAACAGGCCGCCACAGGCAUGCAGCCACGAGGAGGUCGUCGGAAGGGGAGGUACAGCGUCAUGAAGGAGGACGAAAGAGGGAGGUGGAGCAGGCGAGCUGCACCGGGGGGGGGUUGGAGGCGACGUUAAGUAGCACCGAUCGCCCUCGCGCAGAAUACAGACAGACCUGCACGCGAGCCUGCCCCGUCCACCACACGCGAGCGCGCCCCCGCUUCCGGGUCUCCGUUCUCCCUUCGUUCCCCGCCAGCGGGUGCAACAGGACCGCACAUUUCUUAGGGUGCGGUGCAUGUGCAGCAUGAGGAGAAGGAAAAAAGCGUGUUGCACAUCACAUUCGCAGCAGCGGGCCCCGUUCACCUUCGCCUUCACUUAUUCGUCCUGUAGACACCUCACAGGCAUCAGUGCGCAGGAGGUUACUUACUACUCACACCUUCGCCUACUCGCCUACUCGCUAGCCUGCUAGUCCCUUCCCUCCCUCCCCCCCUUCCCCCGUCCCCCCGUCCCUGCCUCCCUGCCUCGCCCACCUGUGGAACUCGCAUUCGCAAGGGCUGCCCUCCGCCCGGGGUCUGCAGGGCCCGGGACCACACACCGGGCACGGCUGCCGGCCGUGCUUCUCAU